RNAcentral lists this non-coding RNA (155 nucleotides) under Acinetobacter sp. RNAcentral describes it as "FMN sequence". It matches the Rfam family "FMN riboswitch aptamer (RFN element)". Rfam says of the family: The RFN element is a highly conserved domain that is found frequently in the 5'-untranslated regions of prokaryotic mRNAs that encode for flavin mononucleotide (FMN) biosynthesis and transport proteins. The record is from RNAcentral. Lineage: Bacteria; Pseudomonadati; Pseudomonadota; Gammaproteobacteria; Moraxellales; Moraxellaceae.
CAUCGCUUCAGGGCGGGGCGCAAUUCCCCACCGGUGGUAAGUUCAGCAUAAAAUCAUUAUGACUGAAUCAGCCCACGAGCCAAUUGCGCUUUGCAAUUUGCAGAUUUGGUGAGAAACCAAAGCCGACGGUAUAGUCCGGAUGAAAGAAGACGACG